AUUCUUAUUCAAAAUCUUGUCAAAUUGAAUAGGACAUAGCUCAAAACACAACUACUAGCAAUUUAGGUCACUUACAACUCCUUAGAUUUCAAAUACUGACUUCAACUUCUAAUAUCUCCUUCUUCCUAGAUUAGAUUUCAUCAAGAAAUAUGUGUAAAAUAUAGCCAAAAAAGUGCUCUCUCCAAUCCUAGUUGCCAAUCUUCAAUUUCUUUCUGUACGAGUGCAUUAUAUCCAAAAAAGAGACAAUAAGUACAAAAUUAACUUUUCAACUUUGAGCGCCUAUAUCUCCUUCAUAAAAACUCCAAAUGACUAAAAAAUUUCACUAAAACCAUAGCCAAAAACCUGAACCUAUAGAUCUUAGC
This 362-nucleotide long non-coding RNA is filed under the name Physcomitrium patens. RNAcentral describes it as "long non-coding RNA (PPAT_LNC005986)". Lineage: Eukaryota; Viridiplantae; Streptophyta; Bryopsida; Funariales; Funariaceae. The record is from RNAcentral.